UAGGUACCCAACUAACAGAGUUGACUAUAUAGUACUGUACUGCAAUAGGUUUAUAAUACUUUUCACAUAAAUAAUUCAUAAAAAACAAACAGAAAAUUAGGAAAACAUUUUUAAUCUUAGAGGACCUAUGAAAGUAAAGCACAGUACAAUAGCUGGCACACAGGGGCUGGCACGGAGUGAACAGGCCAGAAGAGUUCCUGAUGGAGGAGGGAGAGGAGGUGGGAGACGGUAGAGCUGAAGGGCCGUCAGCAACAGGAGACGGAGGGCAAGCUAAGAGUUCACUCACGCCUGAUGCUGACGGCAUGGGUUCUGGCUCCUUGCUGGAACUAGAUGCACAUUCGUAUCUUUCAAAGUUUGCAGUUUGAAGGUUCGUGUGUAGGUGACUGUCGUGCAUAUCCUCACGCUCAGACAUUCACAAACUCACACUCACACACCCCAUACACAGACACACCCAAGGACACUCUCACAUAUAUGUACACACAAUCACAUGUACCCAGAGUCACAAGUACUUAGGCAGGUACAUGUGUUCACACAAAAGCACACACACACACACACUCACAUACAUACUUAUACACUCUCCCACAUGUAUAUACUCCCACACAUUUGCAUACAUUCAACUUUCCUUCUUUUAAUCUUAUACUGGUAUAUAGUUGACUUACAAUGCUGUUAGUUUCAGAUGUGCAGCAAAGUGAAUCAGUUAUACAUACAUAUAUAUGCACUUUCACCUUUCCCUUUUUGACUUAUUAAUAAAAAGAAAGACUGGGAAUGUCUUAUUUUAUUAAUCACUUAUCAAGCAAGAGAGAGUACAGCUGCUUGGUUUAAGUAAUACCAUCUGUCCAUCCAUCUAUCCAUCCAAUAACAUUUGUGGAGAGUCUAACAUGGGCCAGACUAUGACAUCAUAAAGGGCCAUCAGGCAAGGCCACCAGCCACAGGCUUCUCAGCUGCUGGAACUCAGAGCAGCCGUGAGACCCUCCUUCGGCCUCCAUGUGCCUUCAUUUCCCGACACUUAGCCACACAGCCUGGAAGCCAGAACAUCGCGCAAAGACCUUUGUGAUGCGAGGCCAGGGCACGAUGCCACAGACCCUUCCAGGUGAUGAUCUGAACUGCAAAGAUGGUCCAGCUUUCCCCCUGCCUGUCCAGCACUGAGUAGGGCCACAAGCUCCCUCCUCACCCUGGGGCAGCCGGAAGUUGUCCAGGGGCUUCUGGGUGUGGUGCAGAGGGUCGGGUUUCAGCUGUCAAUCGUGUUGAUGCUGCCUUUCAACCUGGCAGGCCCUGUUUAAUAUAUGGCUAAAGCUCCAUAUUCUCGAUGCACGGGAGGGACCUGGGUUCCAUCCCUGGUGAGGGAACCAGAUCCCACAUGCCCCAGUGAAGAGUUCACAAGCCACAACUCAAGAUCCUGCAUACACCAUGAAGACUGAGGAUCCCGCGUGCCGCAACUACGAACUGGUACCUA
Long non-coding RNA from Bos taurus (domestic cattle), 1453 nucleotides. Lineage: Eukaryota; Metazoa; Chordata; Mammalia; Artiodactyla; Bovidae. The record is from Ensembl.